CACAGGUUUACCUGUGUGACUGCGUACCUUUUGUAUAAUGGGUCAGCGACUUAUAUUCUGUAGCAAGGUUAACCGUAUAGGGGAGCCGGAGGGAAACCGAGUCUUAACCGGGCGUUAAGUUGCAGGGUAUAGACCCGAAACCCGGUGAUCUAGCCAUGGGCAGGUUGAAGGUUGGGUAACACUAACUGGAGGACCGAACCGACUAAUGUUGAAAAAUUAGCGGAUGACCUGUGG
Molecule: ribosomal RNA, 234 nt
Filed under: Salmonella enterica subsp. enterica serovar Typhimurium str. ST1489
Lineage: Bacteria; Pseudomonadati; Pseudomonadota; Gammaproteobacteria; Enterobacterales; Enterobacteriaceae
Description: partial 23S ribosomal RNA
Rfam family: Bacterial large subunit ribosomal RNA
Source: RNAcentral